AUUGAACGCUGGCGGAAUGCUUUACUCAUGCAAGUCGAACGGUAGAGGGGGCAACCCCUCGAGAGUGGCGAACGGGUGAGUAAUAUAUCGGAACGUGCCCAGUCGUGGGGGAUAACGUAGCGAAAGUUACGCUAAUACCGCAUACGAUCUAAGGAUGAAAGCGGGGGAUCGCAAGACCUCGCGCGAUUGGAGCGGCCGAUAUCAGAUUAGGUAGUUGGGGGGGUAAAGGCUCACCAAGCCAACGAUCUGUAGCUGGUCUGUGAGGACGACCAGCCACACUGGAACUGAGACACGGUCCAGACUCCUACGGGAGGCAGCAGGGGGGAAUUUUGGACAAUGGACGCAAGUCUGAUCCAGCCAUUCCGCGUGCAGGAUGAAGGCCCUCGGGUUGUAAACUGCUUUUGUACGGAACGAAAAGGUCUCUCUUAAUACGGGGGGCUCAUGACGGUACCGUAAGAAUAAGCACCGGCUAACUACGUGCCAGCAGCCGCAGUAA
This 496-nucleotide ribosomal RNA is filed under the name uncultured bacterium. RNAcentral describes it as "partial 16S ribosomal RNA". It matches the Rfam family "Bacterial small subunit ribosomal RNA", at positions 30 to 523 of the family's 1533-position model. The record is from RNAcentral.